This 725-nucleotide long non-coding RNA is filed under the name Anser brachyrhynchus (Pink-footed goose). RNAcentral's name for it is "lncRNA (ENSABRG00000010651.1)". Lineage: Eukaryota; Metazoa; Chordata; Aves; Anseriformes; Anatidae. The record is from RNAcentral.
CUUUAAUAACUGGUCAGUGUUGUUCCACAAACCAAAGGUACUUUCUCCCCAUCAAAUAUUGAAAACAUUUUGGAUAUCAAAUGAGUUCUGCUCCUUUCUCCACCAUAAUAGAAAUAAUUAGCCAGUGUCUCGGUGUAUGUGGUAUAUUUUUCUUAACGAAUCAGUACUUCUUUUUUUCACAACAUUAGAUUACUUGCUUGCUUUCUGACCAAGUAACAAGGAUAUCUUACUUUUUUUUUCAGAAGAGUGGACUGCCUCUACAAAGAUCAGCCGAGCGCAGGCGUAGCUCUGUCGUAGUGAGUCUGCCGGGACUCGAGGUGUUCCCUGGAGACCUCCUGGUGUCAGACAGUGCCUUGGACUACCUGCCCCACGCAGCCCUACUGCUAAAUGCAGAGUCCAAAAAGCCAAGGUGGCCGUUUGCCAAAAGAGGAGUUGGUAAAGACAAACAGAAGCAAGAUCUGGAAAACUGUCUUUCAACUCUUAAGAUCAUAGAUUGCGGCACAUAUGAUUUCUGCUGUUUCAAGAGUAAAUCUUGGCACGAGUUUAUAAAGGCUCAACAGACUGAGCAGAAAGAUGUCAACAGCCGGUUGGAAGUGAAAAAAGAAGAAGCGGUGUGGGAACUUUUCACAAGUGAAUGCACUUACUUUCUGGAUCAUUUGCUGGUUCUCAAGAUGGUAACUUAAGAUUUCAUUUCUCAAGAAUGAUGAAACAUUAUUUGCCCUGUU